This 245-nucleotide ribosomal RNA is filed under the name uncultured bacterium. Its description in RNAcentral is "partial 16S ribosomal RNA". It matches the Rfam family "Bacterial small subunit ribosomal RNA", at positions 524 to 768 of the family's 1533-position model. The record is from RNAcentral.
GACAGAGGGUGCAAACGUUGCUCGGAAUUACUGGGCGUAAAGCGCGUGUAGGCGGGCCACCAAGUCGGACGUGAAAGCCCUGAGCUCAACUCAGGAACUGCAUCCGAAACUGGCGGCCUGGAGUGGUGGAGAGGAAAGCAGAAUUCCUGGUGUAGAGGUGAAAUUCGUAGAUAUCAGGAGGAACACCGGUGGCGAAGGCGGCUUUCUGGACACUUACUGACGCUGAGACGCGAAAGCGUGGGGAG